Molecule: ribosomal RNA, 292 nt
Filed under: uncultured bacterium
Lineage: Bacteria
Description: partial 16S ribosomal RNA
Rfam family: Bacterial small subunit ribosomal RNA
Source: RNAcentral
GUGUCAGCAGCCGCGGUAAUACAGAGGCCUCGAGCGUUAGGCGGAAUCACUGGGCUUAAAGCGUGUGUAGGUGGAUGCCUAAGUACCUUGUGAAAUCCCACGGCUUAACCGUGGAACUGCUGGGUAUACUGGGUGUCUUGAGCCACUCAGGGGCUACCGGAACAAAUGGUGGAGCGGUGAAAUGCGUAGAUAUCAUUUGGAACGCCAAUGGUGAAAACAGGUAGCUGGGGGUGUGCUGACACUGAGACACGAAAGCCAGGGGAGCGAACGGGAUUAGAAACCCCUGUAGUCC